Molecule: small nuclear RNA, 106 nt
Filed under: Crocodylus porosus (Australian saltwater crocodile)
Lineage: Eukaryota; Metazoa; Chordata; Crocodylia; Crocodylidae
Description: U1 spliceosomal RNA (ENSCPRG00005003492.1)
Source: RNAcentral
AUACUUACCUGGCAGGAGAAACACCAUGACCACUAAGGCGGUUUUCCCAGUCACCGGGGAUAACUGCUUUUCUGGCACGGAGUAGUACCCAUGGAGGUAAUGUAUA